CACAAAUCGGACCCCAGACCCGGACACGUGACCCGGGCAGGCAGCGGGCGCCCCCAGGCCAGCCAGAGGGCCCCUGGCGGAAGAAGGGGGCGCUGCGGGGAGCUCCGCGGGUGGCGGGGGGAGGUGCUGGUGGGCGGUGAAGGCGCACCUGGCUGCCCGGGAUGUCCGGUCGCCCCCGGAGCCGGUGCUUCCGGGCUAUCUCGGGCGUCCCCGGCGCGCCCCGACGUGCCGCGGACCUAUAAUUAAGUGGGAGUCAUGACUAAUAUCUACUGGGCACCUCGGUCCCUGAGUGACCCCUAGGAGUGGAGAGCCGCCCCACCUCCCGUUUGACAGAUACCAGGAAGUCAGGCGUUUGCCCACAGCGGCAGAACGCUGUCCCAGGCGGUCGCUCCUGGGCCGUGGCUGCUCUGGACAAGCUCUCCCAGCGCUCCAGAGGGGACCCUCAGGCCGGUUGUCCUGCACCUCUCAGACAGGCAUGAAGGAUGAUGUGGCCACCUGGCAGUGAAGGCGCCAGGACUGGAGCCCACGUCCACCUGAUCCCCGGUCCCAAGGUGCUCUAGCUGCCCUCUGCCCCUUGACCUUGGCCUUGUUGGGGUGGUUUGUCCCUGCACUGCCUUGAGUCUGUUCUCUCAUCUGAAAAGUGGGGGCCGAUAACUUCACCAUGCAUGGCUGCCCCCCCCGCCAUUGAGCCUCCUGCCCAGGAAGGCAGCAGCCUUGCGCACACCUGCAGGGCCUGGUGCCCUGAGGCAAGGGCACAGCCGCCCAGCUGCCUUCAUCUGGGUGGUGCAGGUGGGGGCCAGCUGGGCGUCCAGACCCAGGCCUCUGCCUGGUGCCAGAGCAGAUUUCAGAACAACUUGUAAUGACGAAACAGCACAUUUCCCUUUAUCUCUGGGAAGGAUUUCUUGGUUCAGGGCAAUUAACCCAGGAGCAGCCUCAGCUGAGUGGGCACCUCUCCUUGAAGAUCGAAAGUGUUAAUUAAGUCGUCAUCUCGGGCCGCCCCAGGCCCCGGCUCGGGAUCAGGCCUUUCCAGUCCAGCCUCCCCAGAAAGGCAGAUGAGCCAGCCAGCAGCCCAGGAGGGCAUUCUCAAUGUUGAUUUUAAAUCUCCAUUAAAUAUUUUUAUUUUCCUUUUUAAAUACACAAACAGCAAUGAAGUUUUAAAUAGCAUACGAGCCCGCAAUCGUUUUGUGGCUAUUUUGUGAAUGAAGACCUACGGGGAAGGGGCACUGGGGGGGGCUUCAGGAAGCGAGGCCAGAUCUGGACUGUCCAGGACAGGAGCCACUAGCCACGCAAGGCCAUUGGGCAUUUGAAACAUGGCCGAUCUGAGCUGUGAUGUGCUGUUGUUCGUGUAAAACACACGCAGCCUCCAGGACUUGGUAUGAAAGUGAAGAGUGUAAAAUUUCUCGUUAAUAAUUUUUCCAUUAAUUACCUGUUGAAAUGAUAAGAUUAUGACAUAUUGAGUUCAGUAAACUGUAUGAUUGCAAUUAA
Molecule: long non-coding RNA, 1485 nt
Organism: Balaenoptera musculus (blue whale)
Lineage: Eukaryota; Metazoa; Chordata; Mammalia; Artiodactyla; Balaenopteridae
Exons: 2
Source: RefSeq, a predicted model, not a curated record